CAUAUAGAUGCCUUAAUUAAUGGGGUGGCAAUACAUACUCUUGGGAAUCUGGGGAGGGGGGGGGUGAUUAGUAGGGGGGAGCAUACAAUAUUAUUUCUUUAUUAACUGCGGGAGGAGGGGAGGGCAUGACUUACUUUAUAGAUUUAGUGGGGUGGGUGGGGAGGGGGGAUAUAUUUUACUGGGGUGUUAGAGUAGGGGGUGAAGGGGCUGGGGUAGGCAUAUGAAGGAGGGGUGAUGGAAGGGGUGAUAGAAACGAGGGGUGUAUGGAGGUUGCUGGGGUUGGCAAAUGAAGGGGGUUACUGAGAUAUAGGGGUGAUGGAAGGGGUGAGAGGCUUGGGGGGAGUAUGAAGGAGGUUACUGGGGUGUUGAAGGGGUGAAAGGGGCUGGGGUGGGCAAAUAAAGGGGGUUACUUGGUAUAGGGGUGAUGGAAGGAGUGUGAGAGGCUGAGGGGUGUAUGGAGGGGUGUUGAAGCGGUGUUUUGGGGGCUUGGGUGGGGCGUAAAAUCUAUUGUGUUGGAGAGAUUACUGGCGGGACAAGAUUGUAUUUAUCACAAUACUGGAGUUUAUAUUUUACUGGGGUGGGUGUACGUUUGGGGAGGGGGGAUUACUGGUUUCCUGGAGGGGGGGGGUACUGUACUGGGGUCAACAUUACAUAUCACAAUACCGUAGUUCAUAUUUACUGGGGUGGAUGUAGCGGAGGGGUUAGUUAGCGGCACUUGUAAUGGGUUCUAAGGUAGUUUUAUAGAAGGGGGAAGUUAAUCUGUUUAUCACAAUACUGCACUUUAAUAUUUAUCGGGGUGGAGAUGGGGUGCGUUAUGGGUGCAAUUCUAUAUAUUUAUUGUGUGGGGGAGUGGAUGGGUUAGUGGGGGGGUGCUGGAGGGGGGGGGGGGUUAUAUAAUAGUUAAAUUUAUUACUAAAGUGGGGGUGAUAUUUUUAAAGGGUAUCUGCUGGGGGGGGGUUACCUAUGGGGGGCAUCUGGGGGAAGGGGGGGGGGAGGGAAAUACAAUACUCUAUAAUAAUUCUUCUCUUUUUAUAACAAUAUUUGGGAUGCGUUCCAUUAGAUAACUCUCUCUCUCUCUCUCUCUCUCUCUCUCUCUCUCUCUCUCUCUCUCUCUCUCUGGAUGACAUGGAAUAUAUUAGUUUACGAUCACUGGCUUAUUUAAAUCUACACCUUAAUUAGUUUUACCUGAAGAAGAAAGGACAGGUGAGAAAGUUAGGCAUUUAGGAAGAUAGUAAGGAAAAGUAAGAAGGAAGAAAGAGAGGAAGAAAAGAUAAAUGUAGGAAAGGCAGAGAAGGGAAGGAAGGAAAGGAAGAAAGGGAGAAAGGUUGAAGAGAUAAUAUAAGGAAGGGAGGAAGAAAAGUAGAAAAGAAAGACGGGAAGAAAAGAUAAAGUAAGAUAGAAAAGAUUAGAUAAGGAAGGAAGAUGAACAUGCAGGUGGACUAAUUACUGGGCUGUGUCUCUCUAUCUAUCCUACACACCUGUACUCUUGUGUAGUAUUGGGGGCGGGACAGGGGGGGCAGGUGUGUGUGUAUGUUGGGGAAGAGGAGGAGGGUUAAGGCAAGUAGGGGGGUAUGGGGGUAGUGUUUGUGCUUGUGUGUAUGUGCGUAUGUGUGCGUAUAUGUGUGUGUAUGUGUGAGUGUUUGUGUGUGUAUCUAAGUUGCUGUCAUCAUUAUUCACACACACACACACACACAUACAUACACGUUCUCCGCCCCCCCAUAAAAUAAAGGUCGUCAAUAUAGUAUACAUCAAACUCACACACAAUAUACACAUCAACAUUAUGGUACACAGAGACAGGUGAGUUGACAAGGCUAUUAGAGGUACAUACACACACAUGCAAAAGUCCCAUCAUACAGUUUUAGAGAGGUGUUUGGAUAUUAGUGAGGUUACAGGAGUAGAAAGGCAAUUAUCUACUUUGGCUUGCGGUGUGAUGAUGAUGAUAAUGAUGAUGAUGAUGAUGAUGAUGAUGAUGAUGAUGAAGAGGAGGAGGAGGAAGAGGGUGAUGAUGAGGGCAAGGAGUAGAAGGAGGAAAAAGAAAAGUGACAUUCAGUGCAAUUUUUAACCCGUGGGCUUUGGCUAUGGGAAAGCCGAGAAGUGGCCGAGAAACGUCAACAUUACACUGCAUUUUGAGACUAAGAAAAGAGCAUGGAAUGUAUAUCAGAGUACUCCUCUCAUAACCAUAAAGCCGUUAAAAAUAUUUACUUUUACUCAAACUCCAUUGUUUUUGGGUGGUGUUUGUUACAAAAUAAACAGUCUCGUGACGCGUGGCAUCUAGAUGAGGGUCGCUUGUUGUCUACUAUAGAGAAUUUGACAAGUGAUUACUGUAUGGAUAGCUAAUUCAGUCUGCCAUGACCUUACAGCACCACCUAUGACAAAUAAGCCCACCUCAAGAUCACUCACCCACCACAACGACCCAGGGCAUGCAUGGUGGGUUGCUCUAUGCCGCCACCACCUACAAUUAGCUCGAAUUAAGGGUUUUGAGCCGAGCCCGCCCUAUAUGGGGUCCGCCGAAGCUGCCGGGUUAAAGGAAUUGAUCGUUUUUGCACUAACCUCUCCUCUCCUCUCCAGGAUGCUUGUUGCUGUGGCAGAUGACUCGGUUUGAGAGAGGAAAUAUAUAUAAAUAAAAGCUCUUGUUUAUGUCUGUAUUGCAUUGCCUUGCUCGACUCCAAAGACCAUCAUUAAUUUCUAGUUCUUGGGUUAGUUAAAGCUAAAAAAAUAAGUGUGAUCGACGUUACUGAACUCAUUUAGGUACUUCCAGACCUGUAUCAGAUUCUUCAUAGCUAGGAGGAGGAGGAGGAGGAGGAGGAGGAGGAGGAGGAGGAGAAUGAGGAAGAGAAAAUGACAAAGGGGGAGAAGGAGGAGGAGGAGGAAGAGAAGAUUACAAAGGGGGAGAUGAAGGAAGAGGAACACAAAAGAACACAAAGGAAGAAUAAACAACAGCAGACAGAGGAAAAGGGGGUGGAGGAGGAGGAGGAGGGGUAUGCUGGAGAAGGUUUAAAUGCCAACAACAACAACAACAACAGCAACAUGCCAAUGGGCCGAUCAAAUCAAUUAUAAUUUUGCUUCAUACACAAAACAUACUAAAUUUUUUUCACUUCAAAUGGCAGUGACAAAAAAAAAAAAUAAAUAAAUAAAUAAAAAAAAAGGUCUAAUCCAGUUACACAUUUUUCUAUAUUUCACUCGGAAGGUAAAAAGAAAAACGAAAACGCCAUUGAAAACUUGUAAAUAUAGGCCUACAUAUAUAAACACAAAUAAAUAAAUAAAUAAAAACCAAGUAAACCUCUAUAGAAGUAAAGCUACAUUACUUGAGAGAAAAUCUAGUGGUAAAAAUAUAAAUAAGUAAAAAAAUAAAUAACAAUAAAAAAGAAAAAGUGUUACCAGAUCUUAAGUGUUCCCUCACUCAACAUCCCCUGGACUAUUUAGCUUAUGUGGGAGGGGGAGUUAGGGGGGGGGAAGGGAAGGGUAUAUGGGUGGGUAUGUGUGUGAAUGAGCCAGUCAGUCAGUCAGUCAUCCAGUCAGUCAGUCAGUCAGCCAGCCAGUCAGUCGUCCAGUCAGUCAGUCAAUCAGCCAGUCAGUCAUCCAGUCAGUCAGUCAGUCAGCCAGCCAGUCAGUCGUCCAGUCAGUCAGUCAAUCAGCUAUUUCACCAGCCAGCAAGUUAAAUCAGUCAGCCAGCCAGUCAUUCAGUCAGUCAGUCAGUCAGCUAUUUCACCAGCCAGCACGUCAAUCAGUCAGUCAGCCAGCCAGUCAUUCAGCCAGCCAUUCAGCCAGUCAGUCAGUCAGUCAGUCAUGGCAGUAAGGCAGAAUAGGCAGCAGUGUACAUACAAAUCAAGCUCAUUCACUAUGCAUACAUACAUACAUACGUAGCUGCCGAUACAUUCACGACAGGGAGACAAGAGUGCCGUUACCGAAUAUACAUACAAAAACAGCUUUCCCGAGAGACUUAAUUUGUAUCUUCAUAAAUAAACACUUCUAAAGGGCCACACAGGCAAUACAAUCUUCCGAGGCAAAGAGUCCAGUCAACGUAAACGAUAAGAGGGGAAAAAAUACGUUUUGUUUGUAGCGCAUACAUAAUAAUAUGUAUCUUCGUAAAUAAACACUUCUGAUGGAUUAUACAAGCAAUACAAUCUUCCGAAGUUAUCAAUGUGAGUGAUGACGUAAGAAAAUAUUAGUUUUGUUCGUAGCGUAUACAUAAGAAUCUGUAUCUUCGUAAAUAAACACUUCUGAUGGAUUAUACAAGCAAUACAAUCUUCCGAAGUUAUCAAUGUGAGUGACGACGUAAGAAAGUGGAUUAUAAAAGCAAUACAAUCUUCCGGAGUUGUCAAUGUGAAUGAUGACGUAAGAAAAUGGAUUAUACAAGCAAUACAAUCUUCCGAAGUUAUCAAUGUGAGUGAUGACGUAAGAAAAUAUUAGCUUUGUUCGUAGCGCAAACAUAAUAAUCUGUAUCUUCGUAAAUAAACACUUCUGAUGGAUUAUACAAGCAAUACAGUCUUCCGAAGUUAUCAAUGUGAGUUAUGAUGGAGGAAAAUGGAUUAUAAAAGCAAUACAAUCUUCCGAAGUUAUCAAUGUGAAUGAUGACGUAAGAAAGUGGAUUAUACAAACAAUACAAUCUUCCGAAGUUAUCAAUGUGAGUUAUGAUGGAGGAAAAUGGAUUAUAAAAGCAAUACAAUCUUCCGGAGUUAUCAAUGUGAAUGAUGACGUAAGAAAAUGGAUUAUACAAACAAUACAAUCUUCCGAAGUUAUCAAUGUGAGUUAUGAUGGAGGAAAAUGGAUUAUAAAAGCAAUACAAUCUUCCGAAGUUAUCAAUGUGAGCGAUGAUGUAAGAAAAUGGAUUAUACAAACAAUACAAUCUUCCGAAGUUAUCAAGGUGAGUUAUGAUGGAGGAAAUGGAUUAUAAAAGCAAUACAAUCUUCCGAAGUUAUCAAUGUGAGCGAUGACGUAAGAAAAUGGAUUAUACAAACAAUACAAUCUUCCGAAGUUAUCAAUGUGAGUUAUGAUGGAAGAAAAUAUCAGUUUUGUUCGUAGCGGAGACGUAGAAUCUAUAUCUCUGUCGUUUUGGGCCUGGGUGAGUUCAAGAAAAGUAAACAUUAUAUUUUUCUAGUUGGCAACUUGCUCGAUUUUUCUUAUGGGAGCGGCGGGUUGUGGACACGAUUAGUAAUGUAUUCAUGUCUUAACUUUUGUCUGCAUUUCCCAACGUUGCCAGAUUGUCAGAUUGUUCAUGGACUGGCUGGUACACAGUGGGCUUCUCCUUUACUUGUUUAUGCCACUCAACACAGGCCGGUAAAAGGCGGUCAAAUGAAAGCAAAAUAUGAAGCAGGAAACAUGAUGGACAGGCAAAAGUACAGGACUGAGUGGAAAAAAAAGUCACCUUCACACAGCGGCGCCACGGACAGGAAAACGGCAAUACACUCAGAAACAAACACGGAUGAUUUAGGAAUGAAGUGAGGCCGGCAGUGUUGCAUCGGCCCUCACCAACACACGCACGAAACCCGGGAUUGCCACAGUUUACCUUCCCUAGCUUUCCCCAGGUACCCAUUUAUCAACCAGCCCAAAAAGGAGGAUGAACAGUCAGAUGAGCACACACACACAUACACACAUACAUAGAAGUUAAUACAGGUUGUUCGUUCUAUAUAAAACACCUUUAAUAUCACUGUUACUGUUGUUCCUUGCUGUUCUGCCUCCUCCUCCUCCCUCUCCUCUCCCUCCUCAUCUUACACCCACUAAGGAGAUCAGGCGCCCAUUAACAAGUGCGACAAACACACACAUAAACACACAAACAGACAGAAGGUGGUUGAUUGCAUAUGUCACUAGCUUAAUUAAAAUGUCACCUAAGGCACAAACCGCUAUUGUACUUCGACUACCCAAGACCUACGACAAUAAGGAUGAGAAACAACGGCAGAUGAUGAUAUAAGCGACAGAACCGGCGUGCGAGUAAAAAGACGCUGCUUGCAAAUUUGGCGAACCUAUAAGUGGAGGAAAUUAAUAGAAUCGCUACGUCUAUGCUCGGAAACCAUACCAGUACAAAUAGAAGUAGUAGUAGUAGUAGUGAUAGUAGUAGUAGUAGUUCACAGUAACCCCACACAUAAGCCCCUCCCACUAGACAAGCAAGCACCAAUAGGAAUCAACCUUUCCCAGCAUCCACCAAUCACACGCCUCUUGAAUUGAAAAGGGGCGUGGCUUACCUGUGAACUGACCAAUGAUAUACAAGGAUUGAGAAAAGUGGGAGGAGCUUAUUUGUGAAGUUAAGAAUCAACCUUUCCCAGCAUCCACCAAUCACACGCCUCUUGAGUUGGAAAGGGGCGUGGCUUACCUGUGAACUGACCAAUGAUAUACAAGGAUUGAGAAAAAAGGGAGGAGCUUAUUUGUGAAGUUGAAUGAAUGGAGUAUAAUAGAAGUAGUAGUAGUAAUAGUAAUGGAAAUGGUAGUUGUAGUAGUAGUUUCUAGACAGACUAUCGGCUACAUACGCGUUACGUCAAAGGUGGUGUGUGUCUUUCAGAGGCGGGAAGACACUUGGCACUUGGUUCAAACUCGCCCACUACUGACAGCGCCGAGGGACAAAGGGACAACACAGGCGACGGGAGAUAGACGACACCCGCCCUCCUGCCUUCCUCUCUGAUCUGUCGCACGGCCUUACGAGGGGAAUUUACAGUGUGCGAUCUCAUGCAUUAUAAGUAGUAGUAGUAGUAGUAGUAGUAGUAGUAGUAGUAGUAGUAGUAGUAGUAGUAGUAGUAGUAGUAGUAGUAGUAGUUGUUUAUGUGGUUGAGCUAUAUGUGGUUAGUUUCAUUCUCUCUCUCUCUCUCUCUCUCUCUCUCUCUCUCUCUCUCUCUCUCUCUCUCUCUCUCUCUCUCUCUCUCUCUCUCUCUCUUAAUGAACUUUUACACUCUCUAAAUACAAACUUUCAUGCUCUCUCUCUCUCUCUUUCUUUCUCUUGCUGGAUUUUCACAUUCCCUCUUCAUACAAACUUUCAUAUUCUUCUCUCUUUCUCUCUCUCUCUCUCUCUCUCUCUCUCUCUCUCUCUCUCUCUCUCUCUCUCUCUCUCUCUCUCUCUCGUAAUAUACAGCCAUCGUCUUCCCUUUCUCUCUUUUUCUCUCUUUCUCUCCUUCCUUCCUUUCAUCCGCCUGGCCAGUUAGACAUUUUUAGUUAUUCCUUUUUCUUUCCUUCCUUCCUUUCUCCCCUUCUUUUUUUCUCUCCAUUCAGCCAGACAGCACUUCCAUUCCUCCUUCCUUUCCUUUCCUUUUCUUCCUUCCUUCCUUUCUUCCAUCCAUUCAUCACUUGUAUUUUUCCUUCCUCCCUUCCUUCCUUCCUUCUUAACCUUCAUCCAUUCACCCUCCCUUCCUUCUUCCUCCCUUCCUCCCUUGCCCCUCCCCUUCCCUCCCUCCAUUUCAACAUUUUUUACCAUUUCUUUUUCUUUCCUUCCUUCCUUUCUCCCCUUCUUUUUUUCUCUCCAUUCAGCCAGACAAUCUUCCAUCCAUUUAUCACUUAUAUUUUUCCUUCCUCCCUUCUUUCCUUCCAUUCACCCACUUCCAUUUACUCUCCCUUCCUUCGUCCUCCCUUGCCCAUCCCCUCCCCCCCCCCACACACACCAUGACCCUCCCCUCGGCCAGUCUCUCCUGUCUCUCUGCUGUGCUCAGAGUGAAGCUCAACCCACUUAACUCCAGUUCCAAAUCAUGAAAUUGGACAAAGUAAAAAUUGCGCUCCCUCUCAAAAUAAUACGUAAAAUAAAUACCGAAUGGAUGAAUGGGUAAAUAAAUGGAUCGAUAAAUAAAAUAAAAUGUCCUGAAUGCCUGUUGCUUUUUGGCUUUCAUUGCUGAGUUGGUGUUUUCCUUCUUUUUCUUUCUUUCUUUUUAACUUGUAAGAAAAAAUGUUAUAGCAAUGCAAGAUUUUUUUCCACUUUUUUUAUGUGAAAAAGGAAAGUUUCGUUUAGUCGGCGCAACAUCUGUGGUCAUAUGCCGGAGAGAAACAGGAGGGGAAGGAAUUAUAGGAGAAGGGAACAGAUCCCAGGAGACGGGACACAAACCUCGAUUAAUACCUGGUACCCAUUCACUGCUGGGUGGACAGGGGCGUAGUGUAUCGGAAAAGCCGCCCAAAUUUUUCCACUCCGCCCGGGAAUCGAACCCGAGCUCUCUUGGUUGUGAGCCGAGUGUGUGUUUGAUGUGGAGAUAAAAGUUUUCUUCAGUAAUUUAACUCUUCAGAGAAAUGGAUUUGUGAGACUGUUUUUUCAGGGUCAUAGAGCUUUAUAUAUAUUUUAGACAAAUAAUUAUCUGUAAUGAAUACACUGGCAAACCUGAAUGAUAACUAACCCACAAGAUUAAGACAAAGUAAUUCAUCCUUCUGUCCCAAAUUCUACAAAAUUAUGACUCAAGGUUCUUUAGCAAUGUUGCCGCAAUUCAACUUCCUCCUGAGCCACGACUCAAAAUUCUUCAAAAUGCUACAAAAUACUUAUAAAUCCACACCACAUAAAACAGCAAUUCAAACCAAGAAGUAACAACAUCCUACCAUAAAAUAAGAGAUAAAUAUGAACAACAAAAAUAAAAGAUUAAAUAUGAAACCCCUGUUCUGUGUGGCUCCUCAAGACUCUAUUUGCAGAGAUGUUUGGUGAAUAUCUGACACAAAAUCUUUCCUCCAUCAACUCAGAAAUGUGCUUGAAAGACUCUCCUACACACACACACUGGAAAACAUGAUGAUCCACUCUGAUUUAACCUUCCUUGACACACACACAGACACACAUACUAAUUUCAAGACACACUUAAAACCUUGUGGGUAUAUACAUAUCUAUCUCUCUCGCUCUCACAAGUUUGCUUUUCACUGUAUGUCAACGAAGAUGGGCGGGUCUGAAUCAAACACGCACACACACACACACACACACACACACACACACACAUAUACUCUCUCUCACACACACUAUCCCUCUCUCUCUCUCUCUCUCACACCCACAUACACUCACUCCCUCUCACACAUUUACACACACACAAUCACUCUAUAUAAACUCAAGAGGCUACAACAUUCUCUAACAUCGACACAAGUGGAAAUAGUAUGAUUCUUUUUUCAUUCUAUCACUGUUUGCAAGGAGCUUUUUAUAGUAAACUCUCCCACACUUGACAUGAGUAGAGAUAAGGUGUCUUCUAUUGUAUGUAUAUAUAUAUCACUGUUUCUGAAGAGCUGUAUCAACAUGAGUCUUUCUAACACUUACGAGUUGAAAUAUGUUGUCUUCCAAUGUAUAUAUAUAUCACUGUUUCCGAAAAGCUGUAUUGACAUGAUUCUAACACUGACAUGAGGAGAAAUAUGUUGUCUUCCAAUGUAUAUAUAUCACUGUUUCUGAAGAGCUCGAUUGGCAACUUGGCAACACUGACACGAGGAGAAUUAUGACUCCUUCCACUGUUUACAAAGAGCGCUAUCAACACCUCUCUCACUGACGGAAAUAAGAAGCCUUCCACAAUGCAUAUCACUGUUUACAAGGAGAAAUAUGACUCCUUCCACUGUUUACAAAGAGCGCUAUCAACACCUCUCUCACUGACGGAAAUAAGAUGCCUUCCACUAUGCAUAUCACUGUUUACAAGGAGGUUUAUAUAUGGUCUUUCACUGUAUAUCACCAAGAGCUCGUAUGACAACUCUAACACUAACAUGAUCUGAAAUAUUAAGUCUGCCACUCUAUCACUGUUUCCAAGGAGCUCCAGUAAGUCUAAGGCAUCACCGUUAUGGCAGCGAGUCUGUUUUUUAUCCCACUUUGCACGUACAACCUUCAGGGGAGUGUAUGCAUGUAUGUAUGUUGCCUGAAUCUACCAGCUAAAGGGAGGACAUGUUGCUUGAUGCGUAAACUCCUUCACUGUAUCACAAGGGAGCGAGUCUGUUUUUUGUCUCACUUUGCACGAACAGCCUUCAGGGGAGUGUAUGCAUGUAUGUACGUCGCCUGAAUCUACCAGCUAAAGGGAGGACAUGCUUCUUGAUGCGUAAACCCCUUCAGUGUAUCACAAGGCUAAGGUGCAAUGAGUGUCGGGAACUUGUAAACGCUAGGGAAGGUCACACGUGUUAUCAUUCAACGUUUUGUGAUGCUGAGAUUGCAAGUGGCGUGAAGAGACUGAAGACGCCUGAAUGUUGUAUUUAAAGACAAGGAUAGAUAGACAUAUAAAGAGAUAGAGAUAGAUGGAUCAGAAGGCAUGUACUGAGAGAGAUUGCCAUAGGAAGAAAUAUAGUUAAAAAGAUAUGCAUAGAGAAGCAAGGAUGUUCAAGUUCUCAAGCGGUUUUCAUUCCACUGUCUUGGUUGCGUGAAACAUUCUGAGACAGCGACGUUCAGUACUCUAGUAUGUGAAUAUCUGACAACACUUCCUAGUACUACCCAAGACUAACUAUAUUCAAAGGACCAAGCUUCUUCAUUUGUUUAACUUCCACCGUGAGCAUUAUUUUGGCAGCCGAGCACAAAAUCACAGGCUCAAUCUCAUACAUUUCAGGGCUCACACACCCACAUUUGAUAAGGCUUUCAUAGAGGUUGUUGUGGGUAUUUCCAUGGGUAGUUAUAUGAGCCUGGUGGUAGUUUGAUAAGGCUUUCAUAGAGGUUGUUGUGGGUAUUUCCAUGGGUAGUUUUAUGAGCCUGGUGGUAGUUUGAUAAGGCUUUCAUAGUGUUUGUUGUGGGUAUUUCCAUGGGUAGUUUUAUGAGCCUGGUGAUAGUUUGAUAAGGCUUUCAGUGUUUGUUGUGGGUAUUUCCAUGGGUAGUUUUAUGAGCCUGGUGAUAGUUUGAUAAGGCUUUCAUAGUGUUUGUUGUGGGUAUUUCCAUGGGUAGUUUUAUGAGCCUGGUGAUAGUUUGAUAAGGCUUUCAUAGUGUUUGUUGUGGGUAUUUCCAUGGGUAGUUUUAUGAGCCUGGUGAUAGUUUGAUAAGGCUUUCAUAGUGUUUGUUGUGGGUAUUUCCAUGGGUAGUUUUAUGAGCCCGGUGAUAGUUUGAUAAGGUUUUCAGAGUGUUUGUUGUGGGUAUUUCCAAGGGUAGUUUUAUGAGCCUGGUGAUAGUUUGACAAGGCUUUAUACCAUGAAUGUGAAAAGUACACCCACAUUCAGGCUUAGAGGGCUGAGAAAGAGUGGACUGUAUCUUAAGUGGUUUUUGAGAGGUGUAAGGGAGCUUUGAGUGGGCUGAGAGGGCUAAGAGAGGGAAGGACUGUAUCUUGAAUGUCUUGAGUGGUUUUGGAGUGGUGUACAAGGCUUCAUGAGUGGGCUGACGGGGCCAAGAAGGAGUGGACCGUAUCUUGUGUGGGUAUUUCCAUGGGUUGUUUUAUGAGCCUAGUGAUAGUUUGGUAAGUUUCUAUACCAUGAACAUGAAAAGUACGCCCACAUUAAGGCUUUCAUACAGGUUAUUGUGUGGGUAUUUCAAUGGGUAGUUUUAUGAGCCUGGUGAUAGUUUGACAAGGCUUUUACACCAUGAACGAGAAAAACAUGCCCACAUCCAUAUUAAGGCUUUCGUAUAGCUUGUUGUGGGUAUGUCCAAGGGUUGUUUUACGAGCCUAGUGAUAAUUUAACAAGGGUUCUGCACCAUGAAUGUAAAAAAAUACCCACAUUAAGGCUUAGAGGGCUGAGAGAGAGUGGACUGUAUCUUGUGUGGGUAUUUCCAUGGGUUGUUUUACGAGCCUAGUGAUAGUUUAACAAGGGUUCUACACCAUGAAUAUAAAAAACACUCACGGGAACCCACCUAACCUCCUCUGUGAACUUUAGAAAUGCUUAAAAGUUAACUAUUCCUCAUGAUAAUUGGAAAGACUGUGUGCAUGCAUAUUAAAUUACUCUUCCAUGCAGAGAAUGUAACAGUAAUAUCUGGGAUUGUUAAAAUACUGGAACCAUCAAAUAUAUGGAAGGGAAAUACGAACGAGAGGAGAUAUUGGGAAAGAUGAAAAGAGAGAACUGGAGUGAAAAUUUCUGAGCUAAUAGUGAAUGUUGGUGUAAGGAAACUGUCUCAUAUAGAAUGCAUACAAUUUUUUUUUUUCACGGUAAAGGACAUAAACACUUCACACACACACACACACACACACACACACACACACACACACACACACACAGAGUAAAGACAGAAAAAUAAGCCACGAGACACUUCAGAAAAAAAAAAGGAUAUGGACCAAGACUUAAAAAUGAAAAAAAAGUUAGUGAAAAAAAAAAAAAUCACAUUCAGAAAAAAAGUUACAGAACAAGAAAGAAAGAAAGAGAAAGAAAGAAAAAAAAGAAAGAAAGAAAGAGAGAGAUGAAGCUUUGUAAAUGGCUAACAUCUUGCAUUAAAAAAUAAAUAAAUAAAUAAAUAAAUAAAUAAACAAAUACUAACAGGCUAAGCACACCAAGCCGGAAGGAGAGUGGAGGCGCGACGCAAUGAAGAACGGCUAUCGGCAAGGCACCGGAAUAGGGACACAAACACACACAAACACACACACACACACACACACACACACACACACACACAAAUGCACACCAGUAGAGACAGCCAGAGAUACACACACACACAGAUACAAAACAAACACAAACACACACACGCACACACUGGAGGGACAUGCAAGCGACAGAUCCACAAAGAAGCAAAAAUAAAGAAGAAAAAAAAAAAAAAAACACGAGGCAGGAAUCAUUUUUGGCAGGAGGGAGCGAGGACGAUUUGGGUCAAUUUCGGACUCCGCAGGACGAUCAAUUUCACCGAGGACCACGAGGGACACUACAGUCAUCCCUUAAAUAGUACGGUUUCCAAUAGCUCAGUUUCGGUUUUGUGGAUUUUCAUAGAUUUUUUUUGGAUUUUUAAAUUUCCCGACAAGCAGGAAAUUUAAAAAUCCUAUAGUUCAGUUUUGGUUUUAUGUGGAUUUUCUAAGAUUUUUUUAGGAUUUUUAAAUUUCCCGACUGAGCAGGAAAUUUAAAAAUCCUAUAGUUCAGUUUUGGUUUAGUGGAUUUUCAUAGAGGAUUUUUUAGGAUUUUUAAAUUUCCCGACGAGCAGGAAACUUAAAAAUCCUAUAGUUCAGUUUCGGUUUAGUGGAUUUUCAUGGAAGAUUUUUGGGGGGAUUUUUAAAUUUCCCGACCGAGCAGGACACUUAAAAAUCCUAUAGUUCAGUUUUGGUUUUAUGUGGAUUUUCUAAGAUUUUUUUAGGAUUUUUAAAUUUCCCGACAAGCAGAAAAUUAAAAAAUCCUGUAGUUCAGUUUCGGUUUUGUGGAUUUUCAUUGAAGAUUUUUUUUGGAUUUUUAAAUUUCCCGACCGAGCAGGAAAUUUAAAAAUCCUACAGUUCAGUUUCGGUUUUGUGGAUUUUCAUAGAGGAUUUUUUAGGAUUUUUGAAUUUCCCAACCGAGCAGGAAAUUUAAAAAUCCCAAAAAGAUCUUCCAGACAAUCUGUAUAAAACUGAAACUGAACUAUUGAAAACUGUACUAUUUAAGGGAUGACUGUAUUAAUUUUUCACGUAUACAGUGGACGCAUGAGUGAGAUCAACAUUCACCAAUUAGAACACACUCUUCCGAGCAGCGCUAACAUUAGGAAAAGAGGAAAACGGAAACAGAUAUUCACACUGAGUAAAAAAAAAUCGAAUUGUUAUCAGAACGAAAACGGUGGACGCAUGUGAGUGAGAUAAACAUUCACCGAUUUGAACGCACUCUUCCGAUCAGCGCUAACAUUAGGAAAAGAGGAAACGGAAUCGGAUAUUCGCACCAAGUAAAAAAAAUCAAAUUGUUAUAAGAACGAGAACUGGUCAUCCUUCUACAUAGUUUCGUUCUUUCAACUCAAGGCAGACCGAGGAUAAGGACGAACUAACAAACUAACAAUCACGCACCCACCACUAGGAGCUAAAACACACACACACACACACACACACACAUACACAAUCGCAACACAUACUUAUACACAUUCUUUAGUCUGGCAUGGAAUCGAAGGAGCCUAAUAUCGUGGCAAAGGAUGGAGAUUAAGACGCAAUACCUUCAACAGCAGAGAGAGUGGUUAUUCUAUCCCUAAAUCAAGGAUAAUGUCCCCUAACUAGUAUCCCUAAACCUUGGUAAAUGUCUGGAGAAUAUCCGUAAAUACUUCAACAUGGGGUCGUUUGGGGUACAGGCAAGGUCGGGUCGGAAAGCAAUCUUGUAGGCGGCGACGGAAAGGAAUAUAUGAAGCGAAGGAAAAAAAGAUUAUACAUGGAAAUUACAAUAAAUUAUGCUUUUCAGGAUCAGUAACGUUCUUCCUCUUCCUCUUCUUCUUCCUCUUCCUCUUCCUCUCCUUCAUUAUCUAAACUCAAGACUUCACACAUAUAUUAAAGUGAGGAAUAUGGAAGAGACUAACAACAAGCCCUCCUCCUCUUCUUCUUCCUCUUCCUCUUCCUUCUCAACCCAAACUCAAGACUUCACACAUAUAAUAGAGUGAGGAAUAUGGAAACACACACAACAAGCCCUCCUCCUCUUCUUCCUCUUCCUCCUCCUCUUCUCUCUUCCAAUCAAAGACCAACACUUCACACAUCCAUAAGAGGGGAAUAUAGGAGGAAGACUUAACAUCAAGCCCUCCUCCUCCUCUUCCUCCUCCUCCUAAAACACUCCACACUUGGUCACCACUAAAAGAAAAGGUUGUGGGGGGCCAAAAAUGAAGCCAAAAACUACAUACUCAUAAAGAUAUAAAAAAACGUAUCACAAAUGACAGGACAGGAGAGAGAGGCCUUGAGGGGGAUGAGAGGGAUGAGAGGGGUGAGCGAGGAAAUGGGAGGUGUUCUUGAGUGGGCUAUAGAACUAAUAGGGACUGUACUAGCUCAAAGGGAGUGGUUGUUGAGCGGUGUAAGAGGGUUUCGAGUGGGCUGAGAGGGUUGAGAGGACUAAGAGAGGGGGAGACUGUAUCAUGAGUGGUUCCGAGUGGUUUGGAAGGGUCUCGAGUGGGCGGAGAGAGGGGGGACUAUCGUAAAAGGGGAGGUGAUGGAGGGGGUGACUUACAAGAGUGAUGGGUCUGUUUAGUGGUUUAGAAGUGGUUUAGAAGUGUCUUGAGUAGGCUGAGAGAGGGGGGACUAUCGUAAAAGGGGAGGAGAUGGAGGGGGUGACUUACAAGAGUGAUGGGUCUGUUUAGUGGUUUAGAAGUGGUUUAGAAGUGUCUUGAGUAGGCUGAGAGAGGGGGGACUAUCGUAAAAGGGGAG
Long non-coding RNA from Eriocheir sinensis (Chinese mitten crab), 15083 nucleotides. RefSeq lists it as uncharacterized. The record is from RefSeq and is a predicted model, not a curated record. The transcript is spliced from 3 exons. Lineage: Eukaryota; Metazoa; Arthropoda; Malacostraca; Decapoda; Varunidae.